This 4763-nucleotide long non-coding RNA is filed under the name Nicotiana benthamiana. RNAcentral describes it as "long non-coding RNA (NBEN_LNC013086)". The record is from RNAcentral. Lineage: Eukaryota; Viridiplantae; Streptophyta; Magnoliopsida; Solanales; Solanaceae.
GUUAUGUUAUUCUAUUAUUAAACAGUUUUCAUCACUUAUAUAUAGCUCGCAGCAAAUGCACAACCGCCAGUGGUUUUGGGAGCUCUGGCUGGAUUUAGCUGGUAUCGGUUCAGUUCAUGCACAAUAUUAGCAGGUUUGUUCCUCCUUCCUCUCCUGUUUUCAUGUUUCUUUCUUCUUUGAUUCGUAAAUUUAAUUCGUAUUGAGGCUUAGAAAUUGGUAGCAAUAUGAUUAAUUUUGUAUUUUGAAUAUACACGGGGAUUAAAGGAAGUAGAUGAGCCUGUUUCAGGCAUUUAAUCUGCUAGAAUUUGUGCUUACUUAUCCGAAAUAGAACUAAAUUUGGCAAUGUAUCAUGGGGUAAUGUUUAUUUGAUGCCAAAUGAGUUAAAGGUUUAUUUUUCUCACAGCUUUAGUUCAACAAUCAAAGGAAUAACUUGGGACCUGGUUUUAACCGGAGAAAAAUAGAGUGACUGGUUCAUUAUCUACUGACUUUCAAAACUAGAAACAACGGAUUUUUCGAUUAUAGAAACUAAGAGUUAAAAGUUUGUUGAAAUAAAUGAACUCUUCAGUAGUUUUUAAAUGGAAUAAUAAUCAUGUGCCAUCAAUUAAUAUAAGUCAUUGUGGGAAAAAGAAAAAGGGAAAGCUUACCAUUUACUGGUUCAUUUCUUAGUUCAAAACAGAGAAUAGUAAAAGUUAUAUAGACAAGGGAAAAGUGAGUCUCGUGUUACUUUUCAUGGUAAGUGAAAUGUAUGAAGUUCCAAUGGUGGAUAUUGAUCUGGACAUUAACAUAGCGUUAUGUAGAGGAAGAGGCAAACCCGAAAAUAAAGAAGAUAAAUAACAUCAAAUUUUAACGUGAAAAACCCUUCAAAUCGGAGUUAAAAACCACGGGAUCACAAAGAUCCAAAAAGCUCCACUGUAACAAUAAGAGAGUUACAGAAGUUCUCCAAAUUGGCAAUACAACAAGUGUCAAACACGGAGCAACAAUAACAACAAGAGCACCAACUAAUCAAUUGAAGAAAGAGUAUAAUCCACAAAAAUAAAGAUGUUGUUCGAGGCAAGAAAUCAGAUAGCUACGAGCCUCUAAAUCUGAUCUCAAGCGUUCAAAUCCAAGACAAAGAUGUUAUAAAGCUCUGUCAAAGAGGCACGAAAUCAGAUGCUAAGAACCUCCAAAUACGAUCUCCACCGUUCAAAUCCAAGAUCAAGAUGUUGCGAACAGUCAGUCAAAAUUUCAGCCCGAACCAACGGUUAACGAAUCGAAAAACGUGAUUUGAAUAUUGGCUGAUCAGAAUAAAAAUCUGCAGCAAAACUAAUUUUUUUGUUCUCUCUUCUCUCUUGACGAAAGCUCUCUCAAAAACCACUCUUAUGUGCCUAAGUCUUUCAAAGACUUGUAUCAAUAAGCAUAGAAUAAUUCUCCAAGGUUGUCCUAUUUAUAGAUCAUGAGUGGUGCUUUCUCUUAAAGCCAAAACCCACUCAAAAUAGGAUUAAACUGAAUCCAAUUCCGAAUAGGAUUGGAAACCAAAAAAGAAUAGGAUUAUGCCAUUGGGCCUUUGGCUGGACAACAUGCCCAACAAAAUCCCCCUCCAGCCAAGGGACCAAAUGUAUCUUUAAGUAGAGGAACUAUUGACAGGCUUCAUGCCUGCCAAUUUUCUACAAAAUUCAUGUUUAUCUGCAAGCUUAACUAUAAAGUCCUCAUACUGCUCCAUAUAAAUUACCUCAUCUAACUCAACAUGAAGAAAAACAGUCUCGACAUCCAUCUUCAACCUCUAAAUCUAGACAUACAGUUAAGCCUAGAACCACACGAAUAGAAGACAUCUUCACAAUAUGGGAGAAAAUUUCAUCAAAGUCAACUCCCUUCUUCUGGUCAAAACCUUUAACAACUAACUCGCCUUGUAUCUAGGCGCAUAGGUAUGGUUAUCUUACUUUAUUAUGAAUAUCCAUUUGUUAGAUAAAGCUCUCUUACCUUUCGGCAAAUUUACUAACUCAUAUGUGCCAUUCUCGUGGAGUGACUUCAUCUCAUCUUCCAUCGCCUCAAUCCACUGAUAUUUGUGAGUAUCAUGCAUGGCUUCAUCAUAAUUCUCAGGUUCUCCCAUGUCAGUCAAAAGUACACACUCGUCAGGAGGAUAACGCAUAGAUUUUUGCUUCUCCCUUGUAGAUCUUCUAAGAGAGGUUUCAGGAGCAUUCAAAGUAGGUACCUGUGCAGGAGUUGGUUGCUGAUCAACCACAACUUCAUCAACUGGAGCAUCCAUAACAUCUACACCAUGAUGAUUAUUUUGAUCUUGAUCACUAUGUCCAUCAUUGUUUUGGGUACCUUCAUGUGCAAUAGGUGCCUUAGCAAUUGAAACUGGAUCAAUAUCAACUAAGCUCUCAUUACUCUGAGAAUCUAUCUUCNNNNNNNNNNNNNNNNNNNNNNNNNNNNNNNNNNNNNNNNNNNNNNNNNNNNNNNNNNNNNNNNNNNNNNNNNNNNNNNNNNNNNNNNNNNAAUAUUGCAUCACGACUUCUAAUAAGUUUAUUGUCAACUGGAUCAUAAAAACGAUACCCAAACUCAUCUUGACCAUAAUCGAUAAAGAUGCACUGCUUAGUUUUGACAUCCAGUUUCGAUCUCUCAUCUUUAGGAACAUGGAUACAAGCUUUACGCCCAAAAACUCUCAAGUGAUCAUAAGAAAUAUCUUUGGCAAACCAAACUCUGUCCGGGACAUAACCAUCUAAAGCAACUGCAGGAGACAAAUUGAUAACAUAGGCAACAGUGUUAAGCUAAGUUGCUCGAACACGACACUUUCGGUGUCGUACCCGUGUCGAUACGACACUAACACGGGUAAGGGUGUGGGAUCUGCGUUGGAUCCGGUCAAAAUAGAUCGGGUGCGUUGACCAAAAAUUUGGGAAAAUUAAUUUUCCUAAGUAAAGAUUUGAAGAGAUGGGAAACGAAAUACCUUCAAUUUUGCUGNNNNNNNNNNNNNNNNNNNNNNNNNNNNNNNNNNNNNNNNNNNNNNNNNNNNNNNNNNNNNNNNNNNNNNNNNNNNNNNNNNNNNNNNNNNNNNNNNUUUUGUCUCCUUUGAAGCUUUUUGUCUUCAAUCUUUGAGUUUCCAUGCUGCAAGUUUCUGAAAUCAAGAUCUGUGUUUUUUUUAGGGCAGAGAAGUUGUUGAUGGGUGGUGGACUACUGGACUGAGGGAUAUUGGAAAGGGCUCGAAUGGGUGUAUCGUACUGGAAAAAACCAGAGAGAUGGAGAGGGUUUUGUUGAGGAAGAUGAUAAAGAACAUGGCGCAGAGAAGAACGACUCAAGAAGACGACUAAGACUCUAAUUAGGAUUUAGGUUAAUUGAUAUAAUUUCUAAUAUUUUGCUGACAAGAGGGGUUGCUCUGAUGGUAAGCAACCUCCACUUCCAACCAACAGGUUAUGAGUUCGAGUCUCCCCAAGAGCAAGAUGGGAAGUUCUUGGAUGGAAGGAUGCCGAGGGUCUAUUUGGAAACAGCCUCUCUACCUAAGGGUUGGGUUAAGGUCUGCGUACACACUACCCUCCCCAGACCCCACUAAGUGGGAUUAUACUGGGUUGUUGUUGUUGUUGUUGCUGCCACGUUGAUUAUUGAGAUAAACACUUCAAAAGUUUUAAGUGAGUGAAUAGGUUAAAAAAUAAAAUAAGUAUUGAAGAAUGUAUUUAAAUUAUAAAAUAAAAUACAUAUAUAAGUUUUUGCAAACUCCAAGGAAAUUUUACUCAUUCAGAAUAUAUUUUUACAAUUAUAAUCAAUAAAUAAAAUUUUAGUUGGUUUAAAUCUCUAAAUAUUAAAGAUAUUAACAUUAAAGAUAUUAUAAUUAAAAGAAUAGACUACACUUUAAUGGCAUAAGUAUAUUUUUCAGAAAAAUAAUUAUAUAAAAUAAUGUAUAUACAAUAGUUUAAUUAUUUCAUUUAAGAAAAAUUUUAUAUCGGAUGACACUUUGAAAUGCUUUAUAAAAAUAUGAUAUUUACAUUCCUAAUGUGUGUGUACUUACAAAAAAAAAGUAUGGAGGAAAAGAGCCAAAAAGAGCAAAACCUCUUUUUUCAAAAUUAUUUGAUUUAGAUAAGAUAAAAUUACAAUUAUGUCCAAUGUGAAACAUAGUUUUAAGGGGUAAAAAAAAUGGCGAACGACAUUUCGCUAAGGAUAUUCGUGCUUUUAAUAUAGUAUAUACUUAUUAUAUAAUGAAUCGCACAAAGUUUAAUCACAUAUUUCUUCGGGGCUACUACUUAACUCUAUCCAGUUUACCAUUAAUAAGACAUUACGAUAUGUUUAGGGGCGCCAAACAUUUAUUUCAUUUUAUUAGUAUAAGUUUUAUAUAACGAAUCGCACAAUGUUUAAUCACAUAUUUCUUCGGGACUACUACUUAACUCUAUCCAGUAUUAGUAAGACAUUACGAUAUGUUUAGGGGCGCCAAGGGUCGAUUGGAAACAGCCUCUCUACCCUUUCGGGUAGGGGUAAGGCUUGUGUAUGUAUUACCCUCCCAGACACCACUUUCUUCGGGACUACUACUUAACUCUAUCCAGUUAACCGUUAAUAAUACAUUACUAUACGUUUAGUUCUCAAACAAUCAAUUAGUCGAUCAUACUAACCAAUCAAACGUGUUAAACAUUUAUUUCAUUUUAUUAGUAUAAGUUUUAUAUAACGAAUCGCACAAUGUUUAAUCACAUAUUUCUUCGGGACUACUACUUAACUCUAUCCAGUUAACCGUUAAUAAGACAUUACAAUAUGUUUAGUUCUCAAGCAAUCAAUUAAUCGAUCAUACUGACCAAUCAAACGUGCUA